This 496-nucleotide ribosomal RNA is filed under the name uncultured bacterium. RNAcentral describes it as "partial 16S ribosomal RNA". It matches the Rfam family "Bacterial small subunit ribosomal RNA", at positions 29 to 507 of the family's 1533-position model. The record is from RNAcentral.
AUGAACGCUGGCGGCGUGCCUAAUACAUGCAAGUCGAGCGAACGGACGAGAAGCUUGCUUCUCUGAUGUUAGCGGCGGACGGGUGAGUAACACGUGGAUAACCUACCUAUAAGACUGGGAUAACUUCGGGAAACCGGAGCUAAUACCGGAUAAUAUUUUGAACCGCAUGGUUCAAAAGUGAAAGACGGUCUUGCUGUCACUUAUAGAUGGAUCCGCGCUGCAUUAGCUAGUUGGUAAGGUAACGGCUUACCAAGGCAACGAUGCAUAGCCGACCUGAGAGGGUGAUCGGCCACACUGGAACUGAGAAACGGUACAGACUCCUACGGGAGGCAGCAGUAGGGAAUCUUCCGCAAUGGGCGAAAGCCUGACGGAGCAACGCCGCGUGAGUGAUGAAGGUCUUCGGAUCGUAAAACUCUGUUAUUAGGGAAGAACAUAUGUGUAAGUAACUGUGCACAUCUUGACGGUACCUAAUCAGAAAGCCACGGCUAACUACGUG